CAGUCCUUCCCAUUUCUCCUAAAGGAGGGCAUCCAGAGAGUGAUAGUGAAGGAGAAAUAGAGGAGGAGCACUGAACCUUCCCCGAACCCUAGAUUAUGGAUAAAGAGAAAUCCAACAAACGCACCCGAGAGGACAGAGACCGAGAACACAAGCAUCACCGAAGCCGAGACCGAGACGAGAAGUACCAUGACUCGGAUCACCAUCACCAUCACCAUCACCAUCGAUCGGAGCACAAAUCAUCCAAGCGCGAAGAUCGGGAAAGCUCUCACGAUUAUGAAACCAAGACCGAGAAAUCGUACGAUCACAGAGACGAUAGAGAAGAGAGCAGGGAUAGGGGUUACGUCAGGGAAUCGAAGAGAGAGAGAUCUCACGAGCCGCGGAAUGAGCGAGAGGGGAGCAGAGAUAGGGUUCGGGAUAAGGAAUCAAGGCGAGAGAGAUCUCACGAGCCGAGGAACGAGAGAGAAGGGAGCAGAGACAGGGAGCUGAAGCGAGAGGAGAGAGAGGGGAGCAGAUAUAGAGCGAAGAGUCGGGAGGUGAAGCGCGAGGACUCUUACGAGGAGAGGGAGAGAGAAAACGAAAAUGUAUCGAGGAACAAGAGAAAAGAUAGGGAAGAGAAUGAGGGGCGAGAUGGGGAAAAGAAGGCUAAGGUUUCGGAGGAGAGGAGAGAGAGGAGGAGGUUUGAGGAUAAGGUGAAGGAAGAGGUGGACGCUGGGGUUGUUGAAGAUGUGAAGAAGGAAGUCAAGGUAAAGGAAGAGGUGAAUUACCAUGACGGGGACGUUAAUAGCGGUGGUUCAGUUAGGAAUGGUGCUGCUCAAAACUCGGCCACUAUGGCAUCAAGGACUGUGCCUGAAAACUCUUUGGUCCCCGGUCACCCUCUUCCUACCAAGGUAUCUUCAAUUUCUACCACAAAUGAAAAUAGGGGAGUUAGUAUUACCAGAUCUCAUGAGGUUCCUGGAAAAUCUAGUACAGAUGGGUCAUCUUCAACUGCUGGAAAAAGUAGUGGGAAUCUGUCGCUUGAUGCUUUAGCAAAAGCUAAGAAAGCUUUGCAGAUGCAGAAGGAAUUGUCAGAGAAGCUGAAGAAGAUACCAUUGCUGAACAAGGGUGCUGGUUCAACAUCAGAUGUUAGCCCACAUGCAGGAUUGAAGGAGGGAGCAAAAUUAGUAUCUUCUAGUUCUGGAACAGUGCAGGGAUCAGUCCCAUCAAUGACUCCCACUUCUGCCAUUUCUGCUGGCUCUACAUCAAGUUCAGUCUUACCUUCUAUUGCUGCAGCCUCUUUAAAGCCUCCUGUAAAUGCCCCUGGUCUUGCUGGUCUUAGUACUAUCCCCAACGUUGAAGCUGUUAAACGUGCGCAGGAGCUGGCUGCUAAGAUGGGAUUUCGCCAGGAUCCUGAGUUUGCCCCUCUCAUCAACUUGUUCCCAGGACAGGUACCGACGGAAGUUGUCGUUCCACAGAAGCCUACCAAGGCCCCUGUUCUUCGUGUUGAUGCCCUUGGUAGGGAAAUAGAUGAACAUGGAAAUGUAGUGAAUUUGACUAAACCAAGCAAUCUUAGCACCUUGAAGGUCAACAUCAACAAGCAGAAGAAAGAGGCAUUUCAAAUUCUAAAACCUGAGCUUGAUAUUGAUCCAGAGUCAAAUCCUCACUUUGAUGCAAGGAUGGGUAUCAACAAAAAUAAGAUUUUGAGACCGAAACGGAUGACUUUCCAGUUUGUAGAGGAAGGGAAAUGGUCAAAAGAGGCUGAGAUAAUUAAACUGAAGAGUCAAUUUGGCGAAGCAGGAGCAAAGGAGCUAAAAGCCAAGCAAGCACAGCUGGCAAAGGCAAAGGCUGAUAUAAAUCCAAAUUUGAUUGAGGUGUCAGAGCGGAUCAUAACCAAGGAAAAGCCAAAGGAUCUUAUUCCUGAAAUAGAGUGGUGGGACAUGCCUCUUUUGGUUACUGGGUCUUAUGGUGGCGUAGCUGAUGGUGGCAUAACUGAUGAUAAACUGAAGAUGGAGAAGAUUACCAUCUAUGUUGAACAUCCUCGUCCAAUCGAACCCCCUGCUGAGCCGGCUCCACCACCACCUCAACCUCUUAAGCUAACCAAGAAAGAGCAGAAAAAACUGCGAACCCAGCGGCGACUAGCUAGGGAAAAAGACAAACAGGAAAUGAUCAGACAAGGCCUGAUUGAACCCCCGAAACCAAAGGUUAAAAUGAGUAACUUAAUGAAAGUUCUUGGCUCUGAAGCAACACAAGAUCCUACUAGACUUGAAAAGGAAAUUCGUACAGCUGCUGCUGAACGUGAGCAAGCACACAUUGACAGGAAUACUGCACGCAAGCUCACUCCUGCCGAGCGCCGUGAAAAGAAAGAGAGAAAGCUUUUUGAUGAUUCAAAUACACUUGAGACAAUUGUGUCAGUUUACAAGAUAAAUGAUCUUUCACAUCCAAAGGCACGUUAUAAAGUCGAUGUUAAUGCAAGAGAAAACCGAUUGACAGGAUGUGCAGUGAUCUCUGAGGAAGUUAGUGUUGUUGUUGUUGAAGGCGGAAGCAAAUCUAUUAAGAGGUACGGGAAGCUUAUGCUUAGGCGUAUCAACUGGGUAGAAUCUGUGAAAGAGGAAGAGGAAGGUGGUGAUGGAGAUGAGGAUAAACCUGUCAAUAAAUGUUUGUUAGUGUGGCAAGGUAGUGUUGCGAAGCAGUGUUUUAACAGGUUUUACAUCCACGAAUGUAUGACCGAAGCUGCUGCUAGGAAAGUUUUUGCGGAUGCUGGUGUUGGUCACUACUGGGAUCUCGCUGUUAACUUCUCAGAGGAUUAGAAGCAACUGGAGCUGAAUGCUUUCUUGAAAGAGUUCUGCUGCUACUAUUGGUUUAGCUUUUUUUCAAAUUGAGCUUCUGUGGUUUCAAUAUUUUGGUAAGCUAUGAAGAGUCAUAAAACCUGUAAAAGAAAAAAGAAACUACGUGGUGGUGCAUUUCGUUAUUGGGAUGUAUUAUGCAUUGGCACCUGUGAAUUUUUUCUAAUCCUUUGUUUCUGGAGCCUUCUGCUGAUGGGCUUUGGCAUAAACUUGCAUCAGCGGGAUGAGACUUGUUACUGAAUGCAACUUCCUAAGGCAUUUUUGGACCAGUAACAAGGGUGAGGUAGGAGAGUCGUAAAUCAAUUAGCUUGAAGACCGUUGAAUUACUUGAAAGUUAAGAUUGUUCUUAGCCGGCACCUCAAGUUUUGAGGUUUGAUUGAAAUUUGCUGUUGUCUUCCAAUUUUGUUUAUAUUGGGCGGGGUGCUUAUGUGGUAUAUACUCAUCUGGGUUUUGUUCAUAUAGUUAUGGUUCAGUUAAAUACCGUAUUGACUAACGUAGGUGGGUUUAAAUGGAUAGACAAGAGGAGAAAAACCUAUCUUGAAAUACAUAGUUGUCAAAAUGACUUUUAGUGCUCCAGAAAAAGAAUGUUGCUUAUAGUUACUGAGUUUGGAGAGGCCUUCACGAGGGAGGGAGAAACAAGAAGGAAGCUUCCACCAAAAUUACGUGCUUCAACUUUGUGAUUAAACUUGUCAAGAGUUUUGGAGAUACAGUGAUUCAAAGUUGGCAUUAUGGACCCAACAGUCUAAUCUUGGGGUAUGUUCUGUAAAAGUUCGUUAUUUCGUGGAACUUGAAUAUAUUCUUAGUUUAAUUAGGAA
RNA transcript from Carica papaya (papaya), 3634 nucleotides. It is a transcript of the gene named Pre-mRNA-splicing factor 3, with no coding region annotated. Lineage: Eukaryota; Viridiplantae; Streptophyta; Magnoliopsida; Brassicales; Caricaceae. The record is from RefSeq and is a predicted model, not a curated record.